GGGCUGAUCAACAAGGCAGGGCUCCCCUACCACUCUCUGGGGACCCGAGCCCAACUGCAACGCGCAGGCCAGUGGGCCCCUGGCGUGGGUUGGCGUGUGCGUUCCUGUUAACCAGAGCCAAACCCCACGGAAGAGACUCCACGGUCUGCUCACCAGAUGGGACGGGAAGGAGGCGGGAGCUGGCGCAGAGAUCAUUCGCAAGGCAUUUACUCUGCCUGCCUGUGGAACCUGGGCCCGAUCCUCCUCGCACCCAGCCGAGUGUGCACCAGCAGGUGUAACUCCCGGAAAUCAACGCGAGCGAGCGGCCACCGGUCUAGACCUGGGGAAGUGAGAGGAGACUCCAGCCCAGUGCCUCAUAGACCAGCCGCUGAGAGGCUUGAAGAACUGAGGUGGGUGAAGGUCAGGGGAGCUGCAUUUGCUGGAG
Long non-coding RNA from Malaclemys terrapin pileata, 424 nucleotides. RefSeq lists it as uncharacterized. The transcript is spliced from 3 exons. Lineage: Eukaryota; Metazoa; Chordata; Testudines; Emydidae. The record is from RefSeq and is a predicted model, not a curated record.